RNAcentral lists this ribosomal RNA (671 nucleotides) under uncultured Staphylococcus sp. Its description in RNAcentral is "bacterial SSU rRNA". It matches the Rfam family "Bacterial small subunit ribosomal RNA", at positions 65 to 720 of the family's 1533-position model. The record is from RNAcentral. Lineage: Bacteria; Bacillati; Bacillota; Bacilli; Caryophanales; Staphylococcaceae.
AACGGACGAGAAGCUUGCUUCUCUGAUGUUAGCGGCGGACGGGUGAGUAACACGUGGAUAACCUACCUAUAAGACUGGGAUAACUUCGGGAAACCGGAGCUAAUACCGGAUAAUAUUUUGAACCGCAUGGUUCAAAAGUGAAAGACGGUCUUGCUGUCACUUAUAGAUGGAUCCGCGCUGCAUUAGCUAGUUGGUAAGGUAACGGCUUACCAAGGCAACGAUGCAUAGCCGACCUGAGAGGGUGAUCGGCCACACUGGAACUGAGACACGGUCCAGACUCCUACGGGAGGCAGCAGUAGGGAAUCUUCCGCAAUGGGCGAAAGCCUGACGGAGCAACGCCGCGUGAGUGAUGAAGGUCUUCGGAUCGUAAAACUCUGUUAUUAGGGAAGAACAUAUGUGUAAGUAACUGUGCACAUCUUGACGGUACCUAAUCAGAAAGCCACGGCUAACUACGUGCCAGCAGCCGCGGUAAUACGUAGGUGGCAAGCGUUAUCCGGAAUUAUUGGGCGUAAAGCGCGCGUAGGCGGUUUUUUAAGUCUGAUGUGAAAGCCCACGGCUCAACCGUGGAGGGUCAUUGGAAACUGGAAAACUUGAGUGCAGAAGAGGAAAGUGGAAUUCCAUGUGUAGCCGGUGAAAUGCGCAGAGAUAUGGACGGACCACCAGUGGCGAAG